AAAAUCCUAAAAUUUCCAGAACUAAUAUGAAAAUAUCCAUUCACUCAGAUAUGCACCGGAGAAAAAAUCUGAAAUUUUCUCAGACGAAGAAUAAAGAGAACACACUGGAAUGAAUCUCCUUGCCACAAGAUUACAAGUCAAAGCCACAAUAUCAUAAUAAACUAACAAGGAUAUAACUAUUUGUUCCAAUACAAAACAUUGAUUGGCUUGGUAGCCGUGUACAGAUUNCACAAUAUCAUAAUAAACUAACAAGGAUAUAACUAUUUGUUCCAAUACAAAACAUUGAUUGGCUUGGUAGCCGUGUACAGAUUAUCAAUAGUCCUGUACCUGCGUUUCCUGGGCUUGCAGUUGAUAACACAAUCUUGAACGGUUUUUUCUGAUGAAGUGAUUUCAAAACCAUUAUUGUUCCUUUUGUUCUUGGGGGUGGAAUUUGUUAUACUGCUCUCGUUAUCGUCUUCAUCUCCAAAUAUCUGUAUAAGCUGCUCCGCCACCCAUGCCGCCUUAUCUACCUCUGACAAACUUCCAUGGAUCCCAGAUGACGACGAUGAACAAGCCAUGAAAAUGAAUGCACAAAAAAGGAUCUAAAUAUAUUUUGAAUCUCUCUCUCUCUCCCUGUCUCUCUCUCUCUCUCUGGGAGAGUUUGGCUUGACGAGU
This 654-nucleotide long non-coding RNA is filed under the name Olea europaea (common olive). RNAcentral describes it as "long non-coding RNA (OEUR_LNC001538)". Lineage: Eukaryota; Viridiplantae; Streptophyta; Magnoliopsida; Lamiales; Oleaceae. The record is from RNAcentral.